GAUGAACGCUGGCGGCGUGCCUAAUACAUGCAAGUCGAGCGAACAGACGAGGAGCUUGCUCCUCUGACGUUAGCGGCGGACGGGUGAGUAACACGUGGAUAACCUACCUAUAAGACUGGGAUAACUUCGGGAAACCGGAGCUAAUACCGGAUAAUAUAUUGAACCGCAUGGUUCAAUAGUGAAAGACGGUUUUGCUGUCACUUAUAGAUGGAUCCGCGCCGCAUUAGCUAGUUGGUAAGGUAACGGCUUACCAAGGCAACGAUGCGUAGCCGACCUGAGAGGGUGAUCGGCCACACUGGAACUGAGACACGGUCCAGACUCCUACGGGAGGCAGCAGUAGGGAAUCUUCCGCAAUGGGCGAAAGCCUGACGGAGCAACGGCGCGUGAGUGAUGAAGGUCUUCGGAUCGUAAAACUCUGUUAUGAGGGAAGAACAAAUGUGUAAGUAACUAUGCACGUCUUGACGGUACCUAAUCAGAAAGCCACGGCUAACUACGUG
Molecule: ribosomal RNA, 497 nt
Filed under: uncultured bacterium
Lineage: Bacteria
Description: partial 16S ribosomal RNA
Rfam family: Bacterial small subunit ribosomal RNA
Source: RNAcentral